RNA transcript from Mustela erminea (ermine), 7433 nucleotides. It is a transcript of the gene named ubiquitin specific peptidase 42, with no coding region annotated. The record is from RefSeq and is a predicted model, not a curated record. Lineage: Eukaryota; Metazoa; Chordata; Mammalia; Carnivora; Mustelidae. The transcript has 17 exons.
GCGCUGCGGGCGCGGCGCUGACCCGGAGGCGGCGGCGGCGGUGCCCGGAUGGAGGCACGUCAUUGUCCCCCGCCGGGCGGCUGGGCUGUGUGCGGCGGCGGCGGCGGCGGCGGCCGAGGGGGAUGGAGCGAGCGCCGAGCCGGGUCAGAGUUGAACAAUGACCAUAGUUGACAAAGCUUCUGAAUCUUCAGACCCAUCAGCCUAUCAGAAUCAGCCUGGCAGCUCCGAGGCGGUCUCACCUGGAGACAUGGAUGCGGGUUCUGCCAGCUGGGGAGCUGUGUCUUCGCUAAAUGAUGUUUCAAAUCACACACUUUCUUUAGGACCAGUACCUGGUGCUGUAGUUUAUUCAAAUUCAUCUGUACCUGAUAAAUCAAAACCAUCACCACAAAAGGACCAAGCCCUAGGUGAUGGCAUUGCUCCUCCACAAAAAGUUCUUUUCCCAUCUGAGAAGAUUUGUCUUAAGUGGCAGCAGACUCAUAGAGUUGGAGCUGGGCUCCAGAAUUUGGGCAAUACAUGUUUUGCCAACGCAGCACUGCAGUGUUUGACUUACACGCCGCCUCUUGCCAAUUACAUGCUAUCUCAUGAACACUCCAAGACAUGUCAUGCAGAAGGAUUUUGUAUGAUGUGUACAAUGCAAGCACAUAUCACCCAGGCGCUCAGUAAUCCUGGGGAUGUUAUUAAGCCGAUGUUCGUCAUUAAUGAGAUGCGGCGUAUAGCUAGGCACUUCCGCUUUGGAAACCAAGAAGAUGCCCACGAAUUCCUUCAGUACACUGUUGAUGCUAUGCAAAAAGCAUGCUUGAAUGGCAGCAAUAAAUUAGACAGACACACCCAGGCUACCACCCUCGUUUGUCAGAUAUUUGGAGGAUACCUAAGAUCGAGAGUCAAGUGUUUAAAUUGCAAAGGUGUCUCGGAUACGUUCGACCCAUAUCUCGAUAUAACGUUGGAGAUAAAGGCCGCUCAGAGCGUGAACAAGGCGUUGGAGCAGUUUGUGAAGCCGGAGCAGCUCGACGGGGAAAACUCUUACAAGUGCAGCAAGUGUAAAAAGAUGGUUCCAGCUUCAAAGAGGUUCACUAUACACAGAUCCUCUAAUGUUCUUACACUUUCUCUGAAACGUUUUGCAAAUUUUACUGGUGGAAAAAUUGCUAAGGAUGUGAAAUACCCUGAAUAUCUUGAUAUCCGACCGUACAUGUCUCAGCCGAAUGGAGAACCGAUCAUCUAUGUUCUGUACGCAGUGCUGGUGCACACCGGCUUUAACUGCCAUGCCGGCCACUACUUCUGCUACAUCAAAGCGAGCAAUGGCCUCUGGUACCAAAUGAAUGACUCCAUCGUAUCUACCAGUGAUAUUAGAUCGGUACUCAGUCAGCAAGCUUACGUUCUCUUUUAUAUCAGGUCCCACGAUGUGAAAAAUGGAGGUGAACUCACUCAUUCCACUCACAGCCCCGGCCAGUCCUCACCCCGACCUGUGAUCAGCCAACGUGUUGUCAACAACAAGCAGGCUGCGUCAGGGUUUAUCGGACCACAGCUCCCCUCUCACAUGAUAAAGAAUCCACCUCACUUAAAUGGGACCGGGCCACUGAAGGAAGCACCAAGCAGUUCCAUGUCGAGUCCCAGUGGAAAUUCUAGUGUCAGCCGGGCUGGUUCUGUUAAUGCUUCGACUUCUGUUCAAAACUGGUCUGUUAACAGGCCAUCAGUGAUUCCGGAACACCCCAAGAAACAAAAAAUCACGAUCAGUAUUCACAACAAGUUACCUGUUCGCCAAGGCCAGUCUCAGCCCAACCUUCACAGCAGUUCUUUGGAGAACCCAACCAAGCCUGUUCCCUCUUCUACCAUUACCAACUCUUCUGCAAUACAGCCUACCUCGAGCGCGCCUACGACGGCGGUUUCUAGUAAAGUCACAAAGCAGAUGCCCCCGAGCGAGUCCUGUUCUCAGCCCGUGAUGAACGGCAAGUCCAAGCUGAGCUCCAGCGUCCUGGUGCCCUAUGGCGCCGAGUCGUCCGAAGAGUCCGACGAGGAGGCCAAGGGCCUAGGCAAGGAGAACGGUCUCGGUGCAACCGAGAGCUCGGACUCUCCUGUGCAGGGUGCGGAAGACGACGAGGCCUGUCCGCUCGAGCUUCGAGAGCCCCUUGCUCUGAACGGUGCUGACAGUACAGACAGCGACCUGAAGGAAAACGGUCUGCCUUGUGAUGGUGCCAGUUGCCAAGUCCCGCCUACUCUACACUCAGAAAAUCCCUUUUCUAAGGCGAAUGGUCUGCCGGGAAAGUUGAUGCCUGCUCCUCUGCCGCCUCUCCCAGAAGACAAAAUCUUAGAGACCUUCAAACUCAGCAACAAGGUGAAAGGUUCGACAGAAGAAACCAGAUGGGGCUGCAGUGCUCCUGGAACAGAGGAAGGUCCUGCAGACGAUCCUGGCAUGGAGCUGGAGCCUGGCAGUCCCUCUCCCGAGUCCCAUGAGAAACCGGAGACCCUCACGAGCCUUAGCAGCAAGUUAAAGAAGGCUUUGCCACCCUUAGACCCCAGUGUCAAAUCUACCAAAGAAGAAGUCUCUGAAAACAUUUUAGCAAAACCCGAGGAGUCUUUGCCCAGUGCCAACACCCUUUGCAGCAGCACUAAGAAUACCGUCGGCGACGAUCCACUCCCUAAACUGUGCAGCCCUGGGGACUUAACAGAUGACCAGAGCAGACCACCCCAGGCCGGAUCGGGGGUGUUACUAGAGAGCCCCCGGGCCUCGGCCGCAGUGGAGGCUGCGGGGAGUUCCAGCCCGAGUGCCCCGGUACACUCCGAGGAUGCCUGUGAGCACGAACUCUUAGUCUACAUCAGUCGAGACACGUGCUCGGACUUGGAGGACCCUCCUCGGAGCGGAGGCGCGGCGGCCGAGGGCUUGCCCUCUCCUCAAGCAGACAAGAUCACAGAAAAUCAUUCAGAAGGGGGCCCCGAACAAAGUAACGGGGAGAAAUGUGAAGAAAACAUGGUCGGACAAAAAGUUCCAGAUCAUUCUCCAGUUAAGGAAAAAAUCAGUAUCCUCAGAAAAGUUGAUCGAGGACAUUAUCGCAACCGAAGAGAUCGUUCCUCCAGCGGAGAGCGUGCGCGGGAGAGCAGGAGCAAGACGGAGGAGCGCUACCACAAAAAGCGGCGCUCGUCUGUGCGGGAGCGGGGCCCCCAGCAGGACCGCUACAGGACGGAGCACGGCAGCGGGGGCCAGCACCACCCCUGUCACGGCGAGAGGCUCAGCCCCGGCGAGCACCGCUCCCUGGGCAGGUACGGCCACCACCACUCCCGCGGCAGAGGCGGCUCGGACCAGGAGUGGAGCAGGUACCACCACCCCGAAGGCGAGCACUCCUGGGCCCGGGAGAAGUACUACCCCGACAGACUGCGGUGGGACAAGUGUAGGCAUUACCACGACAGGUACGCCCUGUACGCGGCCCGGGAGGUGCGCGAGUGGAGGCCCUUCCCCGGCGCCCGUGAGUACGCCAAGGCGGGCCCGUCCGGCGGCCGGCCCUACAAGGACUACUACAGGGGGCGGAAGGGCCACGAGCUGCUCGCCAAGGGGAAGGACCGGCACCGCUUCGGCAGCCCCCGGGCAGGCCCGCCGCACACCCUCCUCCCGUACCCCGACAAGUACCCCCACGAGAAAAUUGCACUUGUAGCCGAAGACACCAAUUGUAACCUCGCCGAUCGCUUCCACGAACACGAGAAUGCCAAGUCCCGGAAACGGAGAUACGACAGCUUGGAGAACAGUGACGGUCACCUCGAGAGAAAGGCCUGGAGGGGCUUCCAGAAGGAUCCCUUGGAAGAGCCUAAAGUGAAGAAGCACAAAAAAUCAAAGAAGAAAAAGAAAUCCAAAGACAAACACCGAGGCCGAGAUUCCAGGCAUCAGCAGGACUCCGAUCUUUCAGUAGCAUGCUCUGAUGCUGAUCUCCACAGACACAAAAAAAAGAAGAAGAAAAAGAAGAGGCACUCCAGGAAGUCCGAGGACUUUGUUAAAGACUCAGAGCCGCACCUGCCCAAGGCCGUCAGCCAUGAGACUGUUGACCGUUUCCGGAGAACGGACGGCGCUUUCCCCCUCACCGACGGCCUGCCUCUGGAAGGUGCUGGGCCUUUCCGUGAGAAGAGAAAACACUUAAGGAUGGGAAGCAGGGAUGACAGGGGUCCUCUGUCUGAGUGUGGCCAGGGUAAGAGGAGACACUUGGAAUUAAGACUAUAGAAAUGAUUCUUGUUAACACCGGGGAAGAAACCCUCACUUGGCGUCGAAGGGGGUGCGUGUUCGCGGGAGCCCGUGCGCCCCCCGUCAGCUCCAGCCUCGGCUCCCGGGUGUGGCGCGGGCUUCAGCUGCCCAGUGGGGUGCUGCAGGCCGACCCCGUAGCACGUGUGUGAAGCCGCAGGGACUCGGACCUGGGCUCGGCGGAGCCUCUGUGGCAAGACCUCUGGUCUGGGGCCCUGGCUGUGUGGGAGUCUCCUGAAGGACCGGGGCUUUUAUUCUUAAGCCAUUUCUGAUCAAAGUAGUUACACAGCGUGUGCUUUCCCUCCGGAGUAGUUAAACCUCUGGCAUUCUGAGUGGAAGCUGAAGCUCCGUGGGAGGGAUGUCCCCUGUCGGCCCCUGGCCGGGCCGAGGCCUUGCGGGCAUCUGUGUUGUGGGGCCUUGGCUCCCGCUGAGCAAACCCCUCCACGUUGGGAGCGUGGGGGGCUUGGGUUCUUACCCACUUGGCACCGCUGUCUUCCGAUGUCACCUUUUAGCCCUUUCUGUUCUGACCGCAUUUGAAGCAGCCCCUUGGCGCCAUCUGCUCUUCGCCCGGGCCGCAGAGUGCGGGCCUGGAGUGGGGUGGCGGGCUCGGCGGCCUCUGUGCCCCGUGGGGUCAGCCUGCUGCAGCCUGCGGGUGCCGCCCGUCUCCACGGGGCCUGCUGGUGAAGAAGGCCAAGGCCUUCGCAGGUUUGAAAUGGCUGGCGGAGCCCAAAUGAGAUGUCGCGGCCCGUGAGACACGCCCGUGUCCGGAGCCGUGCGGGGGCGAGCCCAGCCUUCCCGCCUGCACCGCGCCGCGCUGCCCUGGCAGGUCGCUGCCGAGAGCCUGUGUGGCCCCAGAGAGGGACGGGGUGGUCCUCUGGCCUUUUGUACGAGGAGCUCGCUGAGCCCUGCCCUAGACGCCCGAGGGGCGCUUUCGUGACUUUGAUACGGCGUCUUGGUUGCCCACAGUCUCUUUGUGUUGUGAACUUGGGGGAGACGCGCGUGUUUUGGGGGCAGGCCCGUCUGCCCCGCGGCCCGCUGUCAGUGCGGCUGUGGACGGAGGGGGGCCAGACGGGCCGGAGCGCUGGCUUUAGAGGAGCAGACGCCGUGGCGCUGUCCCAGCCGGUGGGGCUGUGCAGCGGGACGUGCUGUGGGGAGCCCGGGUGGCACAGGGUAGAGGACGAGGGUGGCCGUGGCCAGCUGGAAAGUGACAUUGGCUGUUGUCUGCUCUGGGUUUUUUAGAUUAAUCAUGUGAAUCUUUGGUCUGUGUCCCACGAGCAUUUUGGUGAUUUAGGGAAGGGCUUGGCUUGGUGCGGAUUGAGUCCCUUCUAACUCUCCUUGGUGCUUGGGAGGAAGCAGUGGGCGGCGCCUGAGGGAAUUCUCUGUUGCUAGAAUGUUCCCCGCCCGGCUGCAGUCCCGUAAGGGGCACACUCAGAGGCUGCCAGAGCACAGUGGAGGGCAGCUCCCCCACAAACACGGCUCUGGAGCGAAAGCAGGCUGCUGUGUACCUCGGUGGUUGGCCUGUGGGGCUCCAGACAUGUGUCUAAGGGCCGCAGUCAGGCUUUGGGUCAAGCAGUGGCCGUGUCUGUCUUGUCCGAUUGCGCUCGAUGGGCGUUGUGCAGCCGGCGUGGCCAAGGGGAGCAGGUUGAGGAACCCAUGUGUCUGUACCCUCCUGUCCUCAAGGAUAAGGGGGCACCUGCUUGGGCUUCCAUGCUAAGCACCCCUAUCUUCUGGCCAAGGAUGCCAGACCCCUUUGCCUGCCUGCCACGUGUUCCCUAUUUCUGAUACCUUGACCACUCACCUCUGAGACUCCUGUCCUCCGGGUGCAUGAAACCCUCACGUCAGUGUCUUUGGCUUGAGUUCUGUUCUGUCCUGCUGUUAAAAUGCUGAUCAGUUUGAUGGGCUGGGAGCGAACUGUUCCCGCAGGCUGUGGCUUUUCGCUGGGUCGCAGGCAUCACGUAAAGUCUUGUUUUCAGUCAGACACUGGGAGCGAUCGCCGUGCGACAGGGUACGCGUGCCCAGUCUGUGCGGGACGGGUUUCAGGCUGUGAGCAUCCGGCCAAGAACGGGUCCUGAGUGUCCUCACGCGAUGCCCAUGCACAGCACAGGCAUGAAAAAUGCUGCAGAACUAUCAUUAAAAUUUCUUUCCUGAUUCUUUGCUUUCUAGGUGAUUGAAAACUUGGCCUCAAAACAAAAAAUUCACUAGUUAUGAUUCAACGUGUUCAACAGAAGCCAUCCCCAACCCAGCUUAAAUUAUAAAUAUAGAAAAUAACUUUGUUCAAAUCUGCGUGGUGCUUCUUUAGUAAAUACUGUACAGAUUUUACCAUGGAGAACUUUUUUUUAGUUUUUACCUUUUCUUAAUUACCCUUAUUCCAAAUGGACGAACACUUUCUACAACUGCUGACCAUUGUAAAACACCGUGUAUAUAAAUCCCACGGACAGUGACGCCCUGGACUGGAACAUCUCAAAUGCUGCUUAAUCAGACUCAGGUGGACCGCUCGCAUUCCAUGGAAAGCUCCUCCACGGCAGACAUCCGGUGCAAGACCCGCCGGGAAACCAUGGAAUUAUUAAAAGUACAAACAAACUGACAGUAUGUAUAUUUAAUUUAAAGACUUAUUUAAAGAUUCACGAGCUCUCAACUCGACUUGAGAGCAGUCUGUUUUCUGUAAUGUCUGAUACUAGAAACUAAUUUGCUUCAUAUUUUAGUUGUAUUCAAGAUUUGAAAAUGUAUUUUAUAGACAAGUUCUGUUUUUGAACUUUGUGGAACUAUUCCAAUCAAUUUACCAGUUAUGAUGAGUAUUUACAUUAUGAAUGUAUAAUCCAAACAUUAUUUGUAAAGCCUACAGUAUGUUUUUAUUACUUAACACUUUUUUAUACAGUGUCUCUUGUCUUGACUAUGAUAUUGGAGUCUGAGUUGUCAGCUUGGUCCCUUAAAGUUUCUAGUUACAGACAAAAUCAUACUGUGAUUUUAUUUUUAAUAUGGAUAUGCUAUCAAACUGUGAUACACUUAUAAUUCACUGGUCCUGCAUCAGGAGACGGAGUGGGGAAACUGUAUUUAAUACAGUUUGUAUCUGAAUAAUCUGUAUGGUUUAUACAGUUUGUGUUGUUCAGAGAUGUCUAAAGUUUGAUCUUUGUUUUUUUAAAGAUUAAAAAAGCACUUGCCCCACUGUAAAUAUACAGCAUGUAAAAUUUAUAUAGUAUAUAAAUGGCAGCAAAUUAAA